Molecule: long non-coding RNA, 354 nt
Filed under: Heterocephalus glaber (naked mole-rat)
Lineage: Eukaryota; Metazoa; Chordata; Mammalia; Rodentia; Bathyergidae
Description: lncRNA (ENSHGLG00100051930.1)
Source: RNAcentral
UGCUACAUUACCAACUGGGUCUGUCUGACAUAAAUGCCUGCAAAAAACAGGCCUGAGGUGACGGGCAUCAGAAGAGCUGAUGAAGGUCUGUCCCGUGAGUAUGGUAUCUGCCUUUGUUAGCGUGGUGGCAGGCGAGGAGGCCAAGAUAAUGGCAGGAGUGCUUUCUUCAGUCUGAUAAAGAAACUUCAUCAACAAAACGUGUUGGAAAAGCUGAGACUCUGAUGCUAGAUCUUCUCAGAGAAGAAGGAGUAUGGAAGGCCUUAGAUCAAGCCCUUUAUGUUACAGGGUCCUUACACCUACUGUGCCUGUGUGGUGGAGGAAAUGUGGUCCAAAGUUGGGCUAUGGCACUUCUCU